UGCCAACAAGAAUUUAGUUAUUGCAUAUGCGCACUUCACAUAGUAGGCGUUCCCUAACGGAAAUGUACAAAUCUUUUCUAGAACGCGCCAAUAGGAUCUCUCUAGUUUGUGCUUGAUUCUUCCCAUCCCCUGCUUGUUCUGCCCGCUAUGACUAAUUUGUUCCCGUUGGAAUCGGCAGGCUGUGGUCUAUCUUGGAUUGUUCACAGCUUUAUGGAAGUUACCUCUGGCUCUGAUGUGUAGACCAAGGUAAGAAGAAGAGGAAAACUAGAGGCGAUCACUUCAAACAGAGAUAACGCAAAAACUUCCAGACUCUACUAGAAGAGGAGGUAGAUAAUAGAACUAGGACACCUCAAAGUAUCCUUGCGUGGCAAGCGCAUUUUCAUCCACGUUCCCUCUCCUCGACGCAUCUCCUCGGUUACCUUGGACCUUUUUCAAAAGGAGGCGAGACGACGCAGGAGUUGUGCAAAACCAAAUUAGAUUCUCCCCGUCUUUGCUGAGUCUAASCCUAUAACCUGUCCUUGCUGUGUUGUGAUUGGCAGAACGUGUCUGAAAGUGAGGAGCCUAACUACCUGUCUGCCACGGUAACCUGUCUGCAGCUGCUAAUCUGACCAUAUCUGGUCAUGCUCACAGAAUUUUGAUGGUAAACACCUCCACCUGUAGAUAUAUAGAAUGUUACAACAAUACAGGAUCGGCACUACGGAGAACUACUAGUGUACCCGAACGUUGCUACAAUGUCUCCUCAAAGAUGCUAUGGAUAGAAGGCUACCAGAGAACGAUAGGGAACGCUACUAGAACGUUACAGCAUGCACACAGUGGCACAGCACUCUGCAGUGUGAUGUUAGUGUUGUGGAGUAGGAUCUGAAGGGGGGGCAGGAAGGAGAGGGGUGGGUUUGUGUCAUAUGGGGAGUAGUAAGGAGGGCACUUGGUCCCAUGCAUAUGUCUAUCUUUGUCUGUCUGUCCUGCUGUGAAGAUUAAUUAAACAUGUUUUGAUAUGACUCUGUGUCUGCUGUCCUUUAUGUUUUAGCUUAGUCUCCUGUAUUUUGUYGUUUGUGUCUGAGCGGCUGUGUGUCUUCACUGAGCCUGUGCGUGUGACUGGUGGGUGUACCCUGGUCCAGGUUUGYAUACAGAUGUUUGUUUAUGAACUCUGACCUGAUAGAAGGAAUGUUCCUAGAGGGAACAAAAGGUUGUACGCUUAUUAACUUCCAGGGGUAUGAAUAAAAAACUUUAUUUUCUGAAACCAUUGCGCACACACAACGGACUAAAGUCWAGCAGUGGUUGAGUAUAUGAAUAUAUGUUAAUGUAUU
Salvelinus sp. IW2-2015 is the source of this 1304-nucleotide non-coding RNA. Lineage: Eukaryota; Metazoa; Chordata; Actinopteri; Salmoniformes; Salmonidae. The record is from RefSeq and is a predicted model, not a curated record.